RNAcentral lists this long non-coding RNA (201 nucleotides) under Linum usitatissimum (flax). RNAcentral's name for it is "long non-coding RNA (LUSI_LNC000111)". Lineage: Eukaryota; Viridiplantae; Streptophyta; Magnoliopsida; Malpighiales; Linaceae. The record is from RNAcentral.
UCGCCGCCAGCUUUGCCGCCGCUCAAAUUAUCGCAGAAAACAAACGUCGCUAAGAAAUUAAUCAGGAAUUCUCCAGCACGGAAAUCAAUCCACCUCCACGACAGAUCUCGUACAGGAGGCUCAAGCAAACAAAAAAGGAAAAAUUUAAGCAAAACCGCAGAGUACUUUGGAGAGCUUCAGCGACGAAUCGAGGAACCUGAU